Molecule: ribosomal RNA, 473 nt
Filed under: uncultured bacterium
Lineage: Bacteria
Description: SSU rRNA
Rfam family: Bacterial small subunit ribosomal RNA
Source: RNAcentral
AGGACGAACGCUGGCGGCGUGCUUAACACAUGCAAGUCGAGCGGAAAGGCCCUUCGGGGUACUCGAGCGGCGAACGGGUGAGUAAUACGUGAGCAACCUGCCCUUAGCUCUGGGAUAGCUCCGGGAAACCGGAAUUAAUACCGGAUAUGACCUAGGCCGACAUCGGCCGUGGUGGAAAGUUUUUCGGCUAGGGAUGGACUCGCGGCCUAUCAGCUAGUUGGUGGGGUAAUGGCCUACCAAGGCGACGACGGGUAGCCGGCCUGAGAGGGCGACCGGCCACACUGGGACUGAGACACGGCCCAGACUCCUACGGGAGGCAGCAGUGGGGAAUCUUGCGCAAUGGGCGAAAGCCUGACGCAGCGACGCCGCGUGGGGAUGAAGGCCUUCGGGUUGUAACCCCUUUCAGCAGGGACGAAGCGAAAGUGACGGUACCUGCAGAAGAAGCGCCGGCUAACUACGUCGCCAGCAGCCGC